ACGCUGGCGGCGUGCCUAAUACAUGCAAGUCGAGCGGAUCUUCAUUAGCUUGCUUUUGAAGAUCAGCGGCGGACGGGUGAGUAACACGUGGGCAACCUGCCUGUAAGACUGGGAUAACUUCGGGAAACCGGAGCUAAUACCGGAUAAUCCUUUCCCUCACAUGAGGGAAAGCUGAAAGACGGUUUCGGCUGUCACUUACAGAUGGGCCCGCGGCGCAUUAGCUAGUUGGUGAGGUAACGGCUCACCAAGGCAACGAUGCGUAGCCGACCUGAGAGGGUGAUCGGCCACACUGGGACUGAGACACGGCCCAGACUCCUACGGGAGGCAGCAGUAGGGAAUCUUCCGCAAUGGACGAAAGUCUGACGGAGCAACGCCGCGUGAACGAUGAAGGCUUUCGGGUCGUAAAGUUCUGUUGUCAGGGAAGAACAAGUAUCGGAGUAACUGCCGGUACCUUGACGGUACCUGACCAGAAAGCCACGGCUAACUACGUGCCAGCAGCCGCGGUAAUACGUAGGUGGCAAGCGUUGUCCGGAAUUAUUGGGCGUAAAGCGCGCGCAGGCGGUUCCUUAAGUCUGAUGUGAAAGCCCCCGGCUCAACCGGGGAGGGUCAUUGGAAACUGGGGAACUUGAGUGCAGAAGAGGAGAGCGGAAUUCCACGUGUAGCGGUGAAAUGCGUAGAGAUGUGGAGGAACACCAGUGGCGAAGGCGGCUCUCUGGUCUGUAACUGACGCUGAGGCGCGAAAGCGUGGGGAGCGAACAGGAUUAGAUACCCUGGUAGUCCACGCCGUAAACGAUGAGUGCUAAGUGUUAGAGGGUUUCCGCCCUUUAGUGCUGCAGCAAACGCAUUAAGCACUCCGCCUGGGGAGUACGGCCGCAAGGCUGAAACUCAAAGGAAUUGACGGGGGCCCGCACAAGC
Molecule: ribosomal RNA, 915 nt
Filed under: Mesobacillus jeotgali
Lineage: Bacteria; Bacillati; Bacillota; Bacilli; Caryophanales; Bacillaceae
Description: bacterial SSU rRNA
Rfam family: Bacterial small subunit ribosomal RNA
Source: RNAcentral